Molecule: regulatory RNA element, 126 nt
Rfam family: Bacteroidete tryptophan peptide leader RNA
Source: Rfam
UUGAGCCCAAUAAGAUAAUAAUGAAUACAAUUUUAAAUAAUACUUGGUGGUGGUGCUUCUGAAACUAAAUUCGUGAAGUAACCCUAUGAGUAUAUUUAAAAAUUAAAAUAUCAAAAAAGGCUUGUC